UUAAACUACAAUCUCUUAAAGUUAAGUGACCCGAAGCGAAAAGAGCUAACUACACAAAAUUUCAGAACUUUUAGGUGACCGGAGGUAAUGUGGCAAAAUUACUUAAUAGAUGUGAUAGUUAGGGGUGAAAGGCUAUUCAAAUUUCGCUGAUAACUGGAUUAAACUAAAAAAUAUUAAGUAUUUUCGACACAAGCUCAAAAAUCUAAGCUUUUGAGUUUAUUAAGAUAUAUGUUAGAGAAAUUAAAAUCAACUUUAUUAAUAUAAUAAUAUCUAAACUAAAUUAAUAAUUAAUUUACUUUUAUUUUUAAAUCUUUAAGUUUAUUUAUUUAAGUUAACUGUUAACUCAUAUUAAUAAUGUUUAAAUGAGUAUAGAACACAUAAAAAAAAAUAGGAACUCGGCAAAAAUUUUCUUCAACUGUUUAUCAAAAACAUAGCUAGUAGGUUUAUACUUCAUUAUUAGUUAGCUCUGCCCGGUGAUGAAAAAUUUAACGGCCGCAGUACACUGACUGUGCAAAGGUAGCAUAAUCAAUUGGCUAUUAAUUGUAGUCGAGUAUGAAGGAGUCCAUGGGGAAAAGCUGUCUUUUUUUUUAUUUCUAGAACUUGCUAAGCAAGUGCAAAAACUUGCGUCUCCUUUAUAAUAGACGAGAAGACCCUAUAAAUUUUUACUAAUAUAAGAAGAUAUCUUGAUCGUUUUUGUUGGGGCAACAAUGUAACACAAAUAAAGAAAUUCACAAUGAAAAUAUGAUUUAAUAAAACGAGUUUUACUAAGAACAACUAAAUUACUAUAGGGAUAACAGCAUAAUUUUAAUAUUAAGAUUGUGACCUCGAUGUUGGAUUAGGAACUUAACAAAUUAACAGUUUGCUUAAGGGGUUCUGUUCGAACUUUUACACCU
This 893-nucleotide ribosomal RNA is filed under the name Neostyriaca brembina. RNAcentral's name for it is "Clausilia brembina partial large subunit ribosomal RNA". The stretch from base 370 to 625 matches the Rfam family "Archaeal large subunit ribosomal RNA", at positions 1786 to 2143 of the family's 2987-position model. The record is from RNAcentral. Lineage: Eukaryota; Metazoa; Mollusca; Gastropoda; Stylommatophora; Clausiliidae.